Molecule: long non-coding RNA, 1142 nt
Organism: Cucumis melo (muskmelon)
Lineage: Eukaryota; Viridiplantae; Streptophyta; Magnoliopsida; Cucurbitales; Cucurbitaceae
Exons: 3
Source: RefSeq, a predicted model, not a curated record
UAGAGGCAGAGAUAAGUCAUUUUGUGGUGAAGAGGGAAGGAGAGGUAAGUUUUGGUCUUUUAUUGGCGGAGGAGGAUUGUCAUUUUUAGUAGGGAAUGUUUAUUAUGUUUAAGUAAAGGGGUUGGGUCUAGGAUGUAGCGAGGCGGGGAGACUCGAUCAUCAUCUGGUUAUAUUCUUUGGACCGCCUUUUUGCGAUGAAAGGGAAUCAGAUCCUUGGUCUUUUCUUUUGUCGCAUCAACCUUGACUUUCUCGCAGGUUAAAUUGAGGAUGGUGCGACUUUCCUUUUAAACGGCAACGAUGGAGAUACCACUAAAGGGAUGUGCUUCAAGCAAAAUUUCUCCAUCGUAGAGGGAAAUGGCUUGGCACCUUUUGGGACCUUCAUCUAGGCGAUGAUGGACCCUUGUAUGAUGACACCCAAGUUGAAAGCAUUCUAAGUCAUUCUGCUGUACAGAAUCAUCGCAUAGUCAGAUGAAACUGUAUCGUUAUGCCCAUUGGGAAUAUCUUCUUUUUGAUAAAGAAAAGCACACACUUGCUUCAGUUGUUAGUUGGUGUGGGUACAAUUGAUAUCUUCAAAUGGAAGUGAUUUCUCAUUCUGCACUAGGCCAGGCGGCGGAUGGGCUGAUGCGAUAAAAGAUGCAUGUCCUACCUAUGCGUUGCUAAUUUCUUGAUGUUAUGCAUGAAGUACAAGUUUUUCUCUCUAUUGCCUAAGUGUGAAUGAAGAGAGGUUUCCUGGUAAGUCUAAGGUCGAACUCAGAGAAUUUGUGUUCUAAUUCGGCUUAUCGUGCAACUAACCCUAUACGAUAUACUAUGUACAAUGUAAGUAUAUAGAGUAUGUUUUUUUCUAAUUAUACACACUAAGGUGCAAUUUGAGGUGCAAGUAGGACAUGGCGAUGAACAUUAAUGAAUUGAGAAGUCAUAUAACAAGUAUGGAAUGAAAGAAUAUUUAACUAAUUAAGUGCAGUGUACUAUUUAUUAACACUUCAAGGCGAUACAAAGUAUCUAUUAACUUCAUAAUUAAGGCAAGCAUCCUCUCGGUGCCUUCGACAUACUUGCUCUCCUUUAGGGAUUCAAAUACUGAAAGUUAAUGUAUGAUUUGUAUCUAAUAAAAUUGUAUGCACAAUCGACAAUUUAUCAUAUUUUAA